Molecule: long non-coding RNA, 222 nt
Filed under: Capsicum annuum
Lineage: Eukaryota; Viridiplantae; Streptophyta; Magnoliopsida; Solanales; Solanaceae
Description: long non-coding RNA (CANN_LNC009926)
Source: RNAcentral
AGCUUCUUCUUCUCUUCCUGGGCAGUGACAGGCAUUCGAGCGGUUCGUGUGUUGAUAUUGAAGUGGUAAGCUUCCAUCCUUCCAAAGGCUCACAUUUCUUAGUCUCUUUAUCUAUGUCAUAGACUUGUUUUAGAUUUGCUAUUCGGCUAUUGUCGGGGGCUUGUCCCGACAUAUUAUAGACGUCAGAUUUGUAGAGGCUUUGUGGAUAACUAUGGACUUAGG